GACGAACGCUGGCGGCGUGCUUAACGCAUGCAAGUCGAACGGAAAGGCCCUGCUUUUGUGGGGUGCUCGAGUGGCGAACGGGUGAGUAACACGUGAGUAACCUGCCCUUGACUUUGGGAUAACUUCAGGAAACUGGGGCUAAUACCGGAUAGGAGCUCCUGCUGCAUGGUGGGGGUUGGAAAGUUUCGGCGGUUGGGGAUGGACUCGCGGCUUAUCAGCUUGUUGGUGGGGUAGUGGCUUACCAAGGCUUUGACGGGUAGCCGGCCUGAGAGGGUGACCGGCCACAUUGGGACUGAGAUACGGCCCAGACCCCUACGGGAGGCAGCAGUGGGGAAUAUUGCACAAUGGGCGGAAGCCUGAUGCAGCAACGCCGCGUGCGGGAUGACGGCCUUCGGGUUGUAAACCGCUUUCGCCUGUGACGAAGCGUGAGUGACGGUAAUGGGUAAAGAAGCACCGGCUAACUACGUG
This 468-nucleotide ribosomal RNA is filed under the name uncultured bacterium. RNAcentral describes it as "partial 16S ribosomal RNA". It matches the Rfam family "Bacterial small subunit ribosomal RNA", at positions 28 to 507 of the family's 1533-position model. The record is from RNAcentral.